GUGGGGAAUCUUGCGCAAUGGGCGAAAGCCUGACGCAGCCAUGCCGCGUGAAUGAUGAAGGUCUUAGGAUUGUAAAAUUCUUUCACCGGGGACGAUAAUGACGGUACCCGGAGAAGAAGCUCCGGCUAACUUCGUGCCAGCAGUCGCGGUAAUACGAAGGGGGCUAGCGUUGCUCGGAAUUACUGGGCGUAAAGGGCGCGUAGGCGGACAGCUUAGUCAGAGGUGAAAGCCCAGGGCUCAACCUUGGAAUUGCCUUUGAUACUGGCUGUCUUGAGUUUGGGAGAGGUGAGUGGAACUCCGAGUGUAGAGGUGAAAUUCGUAGAUAUUCGGAAGAACACCAGUGGCGAAGGCGACUCACUGGCCCAAUACUGACGCUGAGGCGCGAAAGCGUGGGGAGCAAACAGGAUUAGAUACCCUAGUAGUCC
Molecule: ribosomal RNA, 425 nt
Filed under: uncultured bacterium
Lineage: Bacteria
Description: partial 16S ribosomal RNA
Rfam family: Bacterial small subunit ribosomal RNA
Source: RNAcentral